UAAAGAGCUGGGGUGUGGCUCAAUGGGGAGCCGGAGGUCGGCGGGGGGGUGUUGCUGGUGUCGGGGCUAGGGGUAUCUGUAGGUGAGAUCCCAGGCCUGCGGGGACACCUUCCGUCCUCAGGGGGCGCAGUAACCCGCACUCGCGGUCUCGGAGCCGCCGGAGGCCCAGCGCCGCGCAGUGCCUCCUGGGACUUGUAGUUCACGGUUUAACGCGCAAGCGCAAUAGCAACUGUAUCGGCAUCGCGCGCGAUGGGCUCGGUGGAGAGACUAGGGGGACAAGGGAUUCGCGCGGGCGCAGGCGGGUUCCGCGGGGUGUUUGACCGGGUGCCCAUGAUCACCUGAGGCCUCGCCGAGGGACUGUCUCCGUAAGUGGGCCCCCGGGCGUGGGGCGGGGCUGGCGAGUUCCCUGGGGUCUUUACCUGGUCACGGGCUAGCGGAAUCUGGAGGCCGCCAGUGGCCAGGUCCGACCUUUCCCGAGGCGGACUCUAGGACGGCUGAGCGGGAAGGGAGAAGGACAAAACCCUGGCUCUAUCUCACCUGCGGGGAGGGGGGUGGGCCCCCAGCGCACGGGGAGCCUGGGGCGGGGAGCGCCGGUUUUUUUGGGUCUUUGGA
RNAcentral lists this long non-coding RNA (612 nucleotides) under Chinchilla lanigera (long-tailed chinchilla). RNAcentral's name for it is "lncRNA (ENSCLAG00000027336.1)". Lineage: Eukaryota; Metazoa; Chordata; Mammalia; Rodentia; Chinchillidae. The record is from RNAcentral.